AGCCUUGUAUUCAACAAUGAUUUUGAAUUGCAAAUUCAAAGGUGAAGCUAUUAGCUUUUAAGGCUU
Molecule: transfer RNA, 66 nt
Filed under: Physosmaragdina nigrifrons
Lineage: Eukaryota; Metazoa; Arthropoda; Insecta; Coleoptera; Chrysomelidae
Also listed under: 1 other name
Description: tRNA-Cys
Source: RNAcentral